RNAcentral lists this ribosomal RNA (253 nucleotides) under uncultured bacterium. RNAcentral describes it as "partial 16S ribosomal RNA". It matches the Rfam family "Bacterial small subunit ribosomal RNA", at positions 524 to 776 of the family's 1533-position model. The record is from RNAcentral.
UACGUAGGGUGCGAGCGUUAAUCGGAAUUACUGGGCGUAAAGCGUGCGCAGGCGGUUCGUUGUGUCGGUGGUGAAAGCCCCGGGCUCAACCUGGGAAUGGCGAUGGAUACUGGCUCGCUAGAGUGCGGUAGAGGAGAGUGGAAUUCCCGGUGUAGCAGUGAAAUGCGUAGAGAUCGGGAGGAACAUCAGUUGCGAAGGCGGCUCUCUGGACCAGCACUGACACUGAGGCACGAAAGCGUGGGGAGCAAACAGG